This 74-nucleotide transfer RNA is filed under the name Bradypus variegatus (Brown-throated sloth). RNAcentral's name for it is "tRNA-Asn". The record is from RNAcentral. RNAcentral also lists the same sequence under 1 other name. Lineage: Eukaryota; Metazoa; Chordata; Mammalia; Pilosa; Bradypodidae.
UAGAUUGAAGCCAGAUGUGAUAGGGUAUUUAGCUGUUAACUAAAGUUUCGUGGGAUUGAGGCCCACCAGUCUAG